Nannospalax galili (Upper Galilee mountains blind mole rat) is the source of this 1908-nucleotide long non-coding RNA. RefSeq lists it as uncharacterized. The transcript has 3 exons. The record is from RefSeq and is a predicted model, not a curated record. NCBI's taxonomy places the organism in Eukaryota, Metazoa, Chordata, Mammalia, Rodentia, Spalacidae.
GUAACGUGUGCACUCAAGGGAAGAGACGGCCGAGCGCGUGCGCAGCUGGGACUGCGGUCCAGGGCCGCGUCGGGGUCCGAGAGAGCGGUCCCGCUUGCGGGGACUCAGCCCCGAAGGUGCUGGACUCCGCCGUGUGCGCGCGGCCACAUCUGGGAGGACUUAGCACCCAGCGCUGAAUACCAGCCACCAACGCGGUACUCCCGUGUCCGAGUUUCUCCAACCACUCUACGUUUCCACAACAUGCCCCGUUUAUGUCUUCCCUGCACGGGGAGGCCUGGGUGUGCGAAGCUUAGUACCCGUCCCCGAGGUGCUGUUUGCGAGGUGUUGGAGUCACGGCCGAAGAAUGGAUGCUGCUGUGUGCUCUGUGCGUAGGGUGCUUGAAGCUCAGUGUCUAGAGUGCUUGUAGCUCAGUACUAAGCACCCAGCACUCACGUUGGGCCACUGAGAUGGCACAGCAGGUCAAGGUGCCUCUGGCCCGGCCUGAACACCCGCCUGUGAGGGCUGCACCGACGGUGACUGAGUAACAUCACUGGUCAACCAAGCACAGAGUACCCAGUUCGAAUCCUCAGCACCUACCUCCAAAGCGGGCUUGGGUGCUUAUGCCUGGUACUCCACGUGUGGGGGUGCCCUGCGCUCAGUCUCCCGUCGGGGUAACUUCCGGUUGUGUCCGACACCCGGUGGCAAGAUGGGAAGUCGUCCUGGAAGUCUCUUCAUGUUCCACCCGAGCUGUUUUUCGAGAAUUUAAAUUCUUCAUUGCGUUUACUGUGUGACAAGCACUGCUGUCUGUGUAUCUAUCGGUCUGUCGUCUGUCCGUCUAUCACGUAGACACAUGAGCUCACACACGUCACAGGAGCCCCGGCCAGGCUUUCACCCACGCCGUGACCACUUGUGACGCUCUCUACGUCCUGUCCACCAUGACGUCAUCAGCUCUGCUCCACCCGCGCUCUCCCAUGAUGCUCUGCGACACCACAGGCCCUAAGCAGAGGAACCCAGGGACCCAGGGCCAGCCCUGCACGCCUGAACGUGACCUGCGUAUACGUAAGUGCACGGCACGUAUGUAAACUGCCCUGGAUGUGUAUAAGCGCUCUGCACGUGUGUAAACUGAACUGCAUGUGUGUCCGUGCACUGUGUGUAUGUAAAAUGCCCUGCACGUAAGUGCGCUGCACAUAUGUAAACUGAACUGCAUGUGUGUAAGUGCGCUGUGUGUCUGUAAGUGUCGUGCCUGAAUAUAAGCCGGAUUCAUGUAACUGCAUCGCAUGCACGUAAACUGCCCUGCAUGCGUGUAAGUACACUACAUGUACGUGAGCUGCACUGCAUGUGUGCAAGUGCAUCACAUGUAUGUAAACUGCCCUGCACAUGUGUAAAGUGCAUCACAUGUAUGUAAACUGCCCUGCGUGUGUGCAAGUGCAUCACAUGUAUGUAAACUGCCCUGCACAUGUGUAAAGUGCAUCACAUGUAUGUAAACUGCCCUGCGUGUGUGCAAGUGCAUCACAUGUAUGUAAACUGCCCUGCACAUGUGUAAAGUGCAUCACAUGUAUGUAAACUGCCCUGCGUGUGUGCAAGUGCAUCACAUGUAUGUAAACUGCCCUGCACAUGUGUAAAGUGCCCUGAAUGUGUGUAAGAGCACUGCAUGUGUGCAAACGGAACUGCGUGUAAGUGCACUGCAGGAGUAUAAACUGCAUGUAUGUAAGUGCAUCGCAUGCACGUAAAUUGCCCUGCAUGUGUGUAAGAGCACUGCAUGCAUGUAAACUGCCCUGUAUAUGUGUAAGAGCGCCGCACAUGUGUGAACUGCACUGCACGUGUGUAGGAGCACUGCGUGUGUGUGAACUGCCCUGCAUGUGUGCACGUGGACUGCAUGUGUGUGAACUGAACUGUGUUGUGUAAGUAGACCGCAAGUAAGUGCACUGC